Molecule: transfer RNA, 71 nt
Organism: Cavia porcellus (domestic guinea pig)
Lineage: Eukaryota; Metazoa; Chordata; Mammalia; Rodentia; Caviidae
Rfam family: tRNA
About the family: Transfer RNA (tRNA) molecules are approximately 80 nucleotides in length.
Source: Rfam
GGGGAUUUAGCUUAGCGGCGUAAGCGCCUGCCUUGCAAGCAGGCAGUUGUAAGUUCGAUCUCCGGUACCCA